CCCCACUCCACAUCUGCCUCAUAGGGCUUCCUUGCCUUCCUUCAUCUGGCCUUAUUGAGGGCAGCCUCUUAGCUCAGCCAUAGUCUUAGGUUUUGGGUCUCUGUGGUGGGAUUAGGCUGGGCAGAGCUUUGGGAGAAAGGAGCAGGAGAUUCAGCCUUUGCUUCUGUCCUCUAAGAGCUCCCAGACCACCUGGAGAGGUAAGCAUCAUAAUUAGACUAUAUGUGGUGACAUAUAAACAGAGGCUAAAUUGUGUGUUAGAAACUCUGAGAUAUAGAAGUUCAGAGGAGAGGAAAAUAGCUAAGGGUAAUAAUCAGGGAAAAUGUCAGAAAUGAGACUUGAAGGAUAGGAAUAUUAAGAAAAAAAUGUUCUUUCAAUUUCUGAGUUUUUGUUUUGUUUUUUUUUUUCUUUUUUAGAAAGUUUGAGGCAUGAGCCACCAUGCCCGGCCCUGUUUUCCAUCUUUCAAGGUACUGGAAUAUUCAAUGCCAUUUUCCCAGCCUUACAGUUCUAGUCUGGGCAUAAAAAACCUUCUCUAAGCACCCUGCAUAGAACCACAUUUUAGAGGCCAGGCGUGGUGGCUCACGCCUGUAAUCCCAGCACUUGGGAGGCCAAGGCGGGCGGAUCACAGGGUCAGGAGUUUGAGACCAGCCUGGCCAACAUGGUGAAACCCCAUCUCUACUAAAAAUACAAAAAUUAGCUGGGCGUGGUGGCGGGCACCUGUAAUCCCAGCUACUCGGGAAGCUGAGGCAGGAGAAUCG
This 755-nucleotide long non-coding RNA is filed under the name Homo sapiens (human). RNAcentral describes it as "KDM5C intronic transcript 1 (KDM5C-IT1)". Lineage: Eukaryota; Metazoa; Chordata; Mammalia; Primates; Hominidae. The record is from RNAcentral.